UGGAUCAGGAUCAUCUGGAUCAGGAUCAUCUGGAUCAAGAUCACCUGAUCAGGAUCAUCUGGAUCAGGACCACCAGGAUCAGGAUCACCUGUCAUUACUACUCUCAUGUAUUCAAUCCCAGCGACAGAUCCACUUGGAUCAUCAGGAGAUGUGGUGUGAAAACCACGGUACAAGCAGCUGUGGCUGCAGGACGCCACACCGAGGACCUGGUGUCAGGCGGUUACAGAAAAGGAAGAAACCCCCACCUGAGUUCAGUCCAGUGAGAUAAAUAGAACAAUCUCCAUUGAACCAUCAAGCUCAGGUCUUUAAAAGAUGAAAUUCCUGCAGCUUCAUUUCUGCAUUAGAGCCCAGACGGAACACAGUGAAGCAGGUUGUGGGUUGAAGUCCCUCAGAAGUCUUCAUCGUGUGAGCUUAUAGAUGUCAUAUCGAACCCUUUGGCCUGAUUAAAUGUCAGUCUAAAGCUGAAAUGGUUCAGAAUCCCGCCGAUACAUUUCCUUCUGUUGUUGUCAUGAUUGUCAAUAAAGUUUUUGACAAUG
Molecule: non-coding RNA, 536 nt
Organism: Oryzias latipes (Japanese medaka)
Lineage: Eukaryota; Metazoa; Chordata; Actinopteri; Beloniformes; Adrianichthyidae
Source: RefSeq, a predicted model, not a curated record